This is a long non-coding RNA of Cyprinus carpio (common carp), 927 nucleotides long. The record is from Ensembl. Lineage: Eukaryota; Metazoa; Chordata; Actinopteri; Cypriniformes; Cyprinidae.
GCCCACAGGGAGGACUGGGGUAAUUAGCAGAAGACUGUGCCUCCACCCUGUGGCAGUUCAUGAAGCCUUUUAGCCCGACAGGAACAUCUUCCCGAAAUAACAUAAAGGAAAUGGAAAACAAAACUUUGACCCGGAGCCCAGCCAGCCACAGUCUUAAAUGGUACAAGGAUACGACCUUCCCAAAAGAACUUAAACAGGGAAACAAAGACCAAACCCUGACCAAGAACCAGCUCAAUUAUGCCUAUAAAAGUAAUACUCCAAUAAAGACAGGUAGGACACUGCAGUGCAGACUGAUUCAGGACUCAGACAACAAUGCUUACACAUCUGUGCCACAGUACUGGACCUGGGGAAGAAGACCAGCUUCAUACAUAGGUUCCUUGUGAUUUAUCUGAAUUGUUUAUCCAAUCAUUUUUCUUUGUCAUCUAAAACAGACUAUAGGACCUCAUCUAAGGGUGGAGGUUUUCCAAAUCGCUCAUGGACACGUUACAAUCAACAGGAUUCAGUUCAACCCUCACCAGACUAUCAACAACUAUCAAUCAAGAUGACUCAGUAAUAACCAAUGAUUUUUUCAAAUGUUUUUUCCAGUUAUAUUUUUUAUCUGCAUAUUACUUCCUGCAUAUAUGUUGUGUAUAUUUUAGUUGUAUUAUAUGUACUAUAUGAUUUGGCAACAACAGGACUUAAAAGUACUCUGAUAAUUAUUAUUUAUUUAUUUUUAUUUUAUUUUUUUUUUUUGCUUUUUUUCAGUUAAUUGCAGUAUUUCUGAAAGCAAUGCUUUAAUUGUAAUUAUCCAUAUUGAUGAGAAUAUAUGUUAUAUUUUCCUAUUUUGUAUUCCUCUCAUUACCAAAAUGUAUAGAAUUAAUAUAACUCUUUGGUCUUUCUUCUUGUUAAAAUAAUAAAUAAAUAAAUAAAUAAAUAAAACUGUUUCCA